This is a non-coding RNA of Phascolarctos cinereus (koala), 8133 nucleotides long. The record is from RefSeq and is a predicted model, not a curated record. Lineage: Eukaryota; Metazoa; Chordata; Mammalia; Diprotodontia; Phascolarctidae.
AGAAAAAGAAAGAAACAGAAAGAAAGGAAGAAAGAAAAGAAGCUUCCAAUUGUUUCUUUUCUUGUUUCUUGCAUGCUUAGUCUGCCCUGGGGGAAUAGUGCAAGCGUAUAAUACAGUAUUAUUGCAUUAAAAAAGGGGGCUGGGGGAGGGGGCUGGGGUGAUGAUGGGAAGAGGCUCAGGGAUAAACCAGCUGUGGCUCAGGACCUCUUGGGAGAUUCAUGUCUCCUGUGCCCCCCACCCCCAGUCCACCUCCUGGCCGAGAAGGAGCCUCCUGGCCAGCAGGUGUCUGCUGAGUAAGGGUGGGGGGAGGGAGAGGAAGAAGGGUGCUUAUGGCCUCAGAGAAAACUGGGCUGAGCCCCCGAAGCUGAGCUGCCCAAACAACACCCUCUCCCAAAUGAUAGAUGGGAAUGAGGAUGAGGAUGAAGGGACGUGGGGCAGCCCCUCUUCUUGCUCAAUACUGUCAGAUCGAAGGAGCCCCAAGCCCUGUCUCUCUCCCUCCUCCUCCAACCCCUCAAAAUGGGGAGGGAGGGAGGGGGUCAGUGGUGGAGCAAGUGCAAAGGAAGCAGAUGUUGGUCCCUGAGUUUAUUUUAUGGGGAGGAGUGGAAGGUUAGGGGAACCCCCCAGUGGCCUCCAUGGGGAGGGGGAAUAGGAGACAAGAUGGGGAUUCUGGAACAGUGGGCAUGGCCAGUGGGGGCCAGGACUGCUCGGAGAGACCCGGGCUCUGAGCUUUGUUCUCCCUCACUCUAGGCUCUUUGGCAUCCAAUUGCAAGGCCAAUUUUUUUUUUUGGCAGGGUUGGGGGUGCGGAAAGAGGUAAGGGAAGGGGUGACCCAGCUCUUCUGGAUGGUAAGGUAAGAAAGGAUUGGGGGAGGAUGGAAGAUGAGGGAGAGAAACCCACUGAGCCAGGAAAACACCCCCUCCCUUUCCAAAAACUCUUUCCCCAGGCUCAACUCCCUCUCUCCCCACCCUGGAAGCACGUAAGUAAAGGAGGGGGGGCACUUCUUCCUCAACCCUCCAGGCCCCACUCAGGGGAAAGAGGCAGGAGAGCUGGAGGCCAAAAGAAACAAGUUGGCCUGGGGGUGGGGGAGGAAGGAGGAGAGUAAGAACAAAGACAAGGACCGGGCAAAAAAAGAGAGAGAGAGAAACCAACAUAUAUACAAAUAGCAGCAGACAAUUGGGGAGGAGCAGAAGCCAGGUCCCCAACUCCUCUGGGAGGAGCCAAUGAGAAAGAACCCCCACUGCCAGCUUCGGGGCUGAGGUCACCCCAAGGCAGAAGCUCUGGAAAUCUGUGUGAGGGAAAUAGGAUGCUAGGCCUAGGGCAGGAGAGAGCUGAGGGAGCCAUGUCCGAGGUAGGGGAGGCAAGCUGCAGCCCUGCUUCACAGGCAUGCGGACCGGUGCAGGGAGAAAGCCUCCCCUUCCCCUACCCCAUCCCAAUCCCCUGGCCCUGGCUCCACGCUCUCCUCCCACGCCAGCGUCCCUAGCCCAGGUCACGCGGCUUGGUUUAGCAGCUUGUUAAAAAGACACAAGAUACAUUCGUGAUGCUAUCGAUCGCCGCGGCGGGGGUGGGGGGGCAGAGUACAAAAUUACUACAGUGAAUGAACUUUUGGGAAAACAGCCCAGAAACGCCACCGCCUCUGCGCUGUCUGGGCUGAAGAGGGCGGAGAAAAUCUCUAGCUUGGCGUCGGGGGCAGGGGGUUGACAUGCCAGGAAAUGGGGCGGGGGAGAGGGCGGAGCUUUGUGGCCCAAGCAGAAUUACAGGUCGCUCAGAAAAUAAAACUCGAGUGGGGGCUUUCGGAAAAGAGCAAAGCCGACUUCCCCACUCCCACCCUCACUACCUCCUGUCCAGUCGUGCCUAAGCAUCUGCAGGCCCCAAUGGAAAGAGUGAAGUUUGGGGAACCGUCUUGGAUACGAGCAUCGGAGCUGAACCUCCUUGGAGCCCCCACGCACACACACAGCUGACGGUGCCAGGCAAGGGUAUGGGACGCGAAGUUUCCCCCCAACAGAAGGGCACCUGAAGUCCCCAAACCCACUCUACAAUCUCCAAACCUCAUCCCUCCUCUAUAAUAGCCCUUUAUUCUUCUGGACUACCAGAAGUCAGCAAAACUAAAGGACUCUAUGCCUUGGAAUGACCUUUGGCUACCCUGAACCCCACAGUGUGGCUACGUUCCUGGCACUGUGAUGGGUACCAACCCUCCUCCUUUCUGCAUUCCCCUCCCCAAAGCUCAGGUUGGUUGAAAGCCUAAAGGACACUGGAUCUUCUGUCUUAAGGUGGCCUGGGUAUUAGGGGGACAGUGAGCCUGUCAAACCCAUCCAGGAAGGUCAAGUUAAACCAUCCCACUGCCCAGCUCCAGGGCUGCAGAAGCUGGUGAGGUGGGAUGACAGGCUGGGAGAGGAAUAAAAAAAAGGAGGAAAUGGAGACUGUCACACUUAACUGAACCUGCCCCAUGGCUUGGGUGCAAAGGUAGAUAGCAAAGGUCUGGUACUUAAUUAACUAGUGUGGGUUCCCUGUUAGAACUGUGGAGAAAAGUCCUGGGAGGAUGUGAAGGGGGACAGACCCACUGGGGUGAGGGGUUAGUAAAAAAAAAAGUGAUGAAAUAUUAGCCAUUACUUUGAGGGAAACAAAGCCCCCUGACCUGUUCUUCUCUGGCUUAGCAAUCAGGGCUUUUGCAGAAGAAAUUUGUUCUUUCCCUUUAAUGAAAACUGAUUCUGCACACUCCUUGGACCUGUGUGACCACUCUACAAUGCCAGCAUUUCUAGCACACUGAGGCCUCUCACCAGCAAAAGGGUCACUGGCCCAGGUCCUGUCUUUUAGGUUGGACUGAAUCCUGUCAAAGGUGGAAAGAAAACAGGACUUUUCUCCAGGGUCUCCCCCCUACAUCCCUCCCCCACUCAUCCAGUCAAGAACCAUACAGGGGACACAACAUGAGAAGGAAACAACCCUGGAAGCUGGGUAGGAUACUGGCAAACGGCAGAGAGAUGAACUUCCCACCUCUCAUUCAGAUCAGCAUUAACCCCACCAUUAACCACCACCAAAGUCAUUUCCUUUGAUCAUCUCCAAAGUCAAUACAAUUGAUAGACCUCACUAUGGCUACCCAGCAUCUAAGGAUCCAUACAUCAGACUGGAUACCAGGUACUAGCCCUGGUUUUGGCCUAGAAUGGGGGUAGGAAGUAGCAGGAGAGAGGUUUCAGACCCCUAGAUCCCUCCAUGGCCUGCCUGGCAGGCAAUGGGUGAGGUCACCACACAUUUUCCCAGGCCCAAAUUGAAGUGAUUGGUAUAGGUAGGCCCAGUGACCCAGCCUGGGGUAGGACAGGCAAAGUAAGGAAUGGAGGGAGAUCAGGAGCCCUUAUGCAGUUGCAUGUAGAAAUCCCCUUAAGAGGGUAUAUAUAAAAGGGUAAUAAUUCACUAGGAAUAGUCCAGGAGUUCCAACUUCCACUCACUCAUUAGAUCAUUGGUUAAGUCACCUUUGUUCAUGUCUUCCGCUCAUUUGGAUUGGAUGAGUGGACCUGGUACUUGAAGGUGUUUGAAGGCCAGGGAAGGUUGGAGAUGUGAUUAUAAGGGAUAGCAACCAUCCUGCCCAUCUAACUCCUGCCCUGGGACCAAGAGCUGUUAAGACCUUUCUAAAGUAUCAGGAAGACCACAUAGUAUCUGUUAAAACUCACAUGGAGUCACAGAACACACUCACAUAAACCUCAAGCAUGCACCUGCUCACACACAUACAUGUCUUCAUACAUAAACAGACAUUUGGCAUUAGUAGCUUCGGAUGGUAGAAAGAGCCUUAGAUUUGGAGUGUGAAGACCUACAUUCAAAUCUUAGUUCUGUCACUGACUAUUUGUGUGACUUGGCAAGUCACUUAACCCCCUCUAUAGAGAUUUUCUUCUCUAUAUCAAAUAAGAGAGUUGAAUUAGAUGACAUCGAAAAUCUUCCUUCCACCUCUAAGAUCCUAUGAUCCACACGCUUUGUGUGGCCAAAAAGCUUGUGCUUCUCUUUAGAAGCCUGCCUGGUUUGAGUGUGUCAGGGAGAAGACAACUCCUUUGAGGAAGCCUGAAGGCUGGGCCCCUCCACUCUCCAAAAAGCCUGAGGCCCACACAUUUAAGAAAAUACAGAAUCAUGGGGUCAUUGGAUUUGUCGGGAGCUCAAAGGGCCACCUAAUUUAACUCUCAUUUUCAGAGGAGAGAAGUCUAGAGAGGGAAAGUCCCGAGGUCACAAGGAGAGUUGGUGGCCCAGCCAGGUGUCUUUUCCAGGACACCAAACUGCUCCCUCACAGAAAGACAGCUCAUCCAGAGGCCAAAGAAACAUCAACCUAGUGCCUUGGCCACUUAGCCAAGGAACUCAAAUUCAGAAUUCAGUGGGAUCUAGGUGUUUUAUUAAAUGCCAAAUCAGUUAUCCUGCCCUGGAAGCUAUCUCCAAAUACAAAAGUCUUUCACUUUGACCAGACUCCCACUAGGGUACAACUGCAUUCUGACCUCUGGCCUCUGCCUCUCCGUCCUGCAUCUUUCAGUCACUGUGGGAAGUGAGGGACCAAGACAAGGGGGUAAAAGUGGAAGAUUGUCCCCAGGGCAAUAGGAGAUGCAUACAUGCAGAUAAUGUGGCUGAAACCUCUAUUUAUCCUCUUUCAAUGAUGAAUCAACAGUGAAUGUCCUCACCUCCUGAUGGGGGAGGGAGAAAGGGGAGAGGCUGCUGGUCAGUUUUGGGAAGGAAGACAUAUCGCACACUAUUCCAUCCCUUGGGGAGACAGAAGAAGGGAAAAAGGGAAGAAAAAAGUUCUCUUUUCUAUAUAACCCUAGGCCCCCUACGUAUAAAUAAUCCAGUAAUGAUCAACAAAUGCUUAAUUAAUAAAUGAAAGACUAAAUAAAUAAACCAAUAAAUUAGGUAAGUCCCCAGUUAUUUAGCAUCCUCAGGAAAUGAGAUGCUCUGGUAAAUGCAACAAGUGCCCGUAAAAAGAUGGAAACCUGCUUUUUUCAAGCAAGCACACUGGAAUUCAUCCAAGCAAAGGCUGGGCUCAUUCCAUGUAGGGAAUUGCCUUCAGAGAACUGCUUAAAAAUCACACAAUCUUCUGCUCCUUACUGGGUAGUCACACCCCACUUUUGGUCACACAGGCCAGCCAUUCCCCAGCCUGACUGCCUACUUCACUCUGCAGAAUUGGCUCAGAAUGAUUUUUGACUAUUUACAGAAAAAUAAAUCCAUCUUCAAAGAAGUCAAGGGAUAUCACCCUGGAAGGGCCCCAGGCUCCAAAAGCAAUCCCUAAAGAGGAAUUCCAAUGUGUUUUGACCAAUGGACUACUCUGAAAGUUUGGGCACUGGAUUACACUAUGUGAGUUCUUGACUGACUGUUCAAAAAAAAAAAAGGCUUCCCUACCUUACCAUAAGGUAUUGUUGGAAUAAGGUUGCAGCUUCCCAAAGGGAAUACAGUAAGAUGCUAAAACUAUUCUGAAUGAAAUUUAAUCUUUGAUGAUUUAGAAACUAUUCAUGAUUUUUGUGGAGAUAACAUCAUUGAUCACUGAACUACAACUAUAUGAAAGGACAGGUUAAUGGAGAAUUCUAGUUAAUAGAAUGUCCUCUAACAAUGCUGACUUCUUUCACACUGACAGUAACCAAAGUGACCUAAUUCCAAUUAGCCCAGGCCUUUGGAAUCCUCAGUCAAAGCAAUCUUAAGGGAGAAUUCUGGGGGAAUGGAGGGAAGGGCAGGUACUUUUAUUACAGGUCUCACAGACAAGUGGAGGAGCCUUCAAGGUGGUUAGAGACAAGGGGCUAAGAGGAAUGGAAGAAGGUUAGGGGACUGAAAGGGAGGGUUCAUGGAAUUAAGGUAUAUUCAAUAUUCUCUUGAACAGAGAGCAAAGAGUGAGAUAGAAGGCGGGAGGUAAGCAAAAUUUUAAAAUAGGUGUAGGUGAUGGAAAGUACUUUGAGAGUCUACUGGGAAUUUAGCGCAGGGGUUUGCCAGAAUUGAGAGAAGGAGUGGAUCGUUGAGAUGAAGGACAGAGUGGGUUAAGGGCUAUAGAAUAUCCCUAUCCUCCACUUUUAUCCUAGGGAGGGAUGGCUUUUUGGAUUUGAUAAUCUACCUGCCUCUGUUUUGUGCUUUUGUUUCCUGGAGGCUCUUUGCCUGCCACAUCCUGGGAAGGGAACACAGAAGAAAUUAUCCAUUACCUUCCACAGAAAGCAUUUGGAAGUUUUGAGGGCAGCAGAGUCAGGGCCUGGGAGUGGAGUUACAGAUCUGGUAGGGGGCAGAGAACCCAAGACCUAAAACUGCUUGAGGGAACGGGACUGCCAGUGGAGAAUGCUUUUUUUUUUAGAAGCUCCUUUGCUGGAAUAAAGUUUAGUGGGAAGUGGAGAGAAUGCAGAGAAAUGGAUAUAUGAUGUCUAAAAUCCUUUCCAGCACCAAUACACUAAUUCUAAGAUUCUAGACAAAGAAACUCAAAGAAACCAAAUCUGAGACCCCUGGCUCUCUCCUGGGUUUGGAAAGGGACUUCUGAAGAGGAUGGAAGGGCAAGAGAAAAAUCUCUACUUCACACAACCCCAGGCUUGUCCACUGAACUGGAAGAGAAUGAAAGUCAAUUCACUGAAAUGGAACCAUUACAGGAUUAUUACUUUAGAGCUGGAAAAGACUUUAGAGGUCAUUGAACCUAACCUCCCAAUUUGUCAGAUGAGGUAACUGAGUGCAAGGGAAAUUAAGGGAAAUCAGGAUCAGUCACCAAAAAAUACAAAUGGAGAGUGACCUGGUCCUAAAGGCUCCCCACCACCAAGGGACCAAUGACCCUAUAUCAGGCUCUGUACCAGGGAAAAGUUCUCUGUUCCUUGGAGUCCUAGAAAAUAGAAUAUCAAAACUUUGAAAGACUUCAGUCUUUUUCUUCCAGCCCCCUCAUUUUUUUUUUCAUUUACAGAUUCCCCUUGGGACCACCAUUCCCAGCUAGAAACCGAUGGUAAGGUGAGGAGGCAGGAGAUGAGCCAAUAAGGGAGGGGGAGGGGAUAGGGUUGAGGAAUUGAUAGUAUGGAGGUAAUUACUCAGUAAUAAAGGGAUAUCUCCCCCUCCCCAACAUGCUAGGGCAAGCAUCAGUACACACACACACACACACACACACACACACACACACACACACACACACACACACACACACCCAGCAUCAGCUUCUCUGCAAUAAACAUGUUUGCCACUGGAAAAACCCUCUCAAGGGAGCCCCAGCCUCAAACUCCUGUCCUCUCUUACACUCAGAUGUACUGCCCUUUCUUUUUUCCUGAGGGUGGAGAUGCUGGAUGUCACUGGCAAGUAUGAAGUGGGGAGGCACCUUUGCUGGGAUCCCAAGGAACCCCAGUAUUUCCAAGGAGUACCUGAAAGGAGAGGCCGAGGGUUGGGAGGUGAUUGGAAGACACAGUGACCUAGGAUGAUGACACAAGACAGGGAGCUAGGUCCUAGGGACCGUUCCAUUCAAACAUCCCCCAGCCUUGAAAUACCAUGGGGAGCAAUGGGGAAGUCCUCACUCCCAACUGUUCCAACCUGGGACAGUGGCACAUAUCCUCACCCACACACUGCCUCCUAGACACUGGCUGUGAUACAGCUGCCUGUUCUGAGGGAGGAAUUUUGGCUGGUCAGAUACAGGGUAGCAGCAACACACGAUUAGGUCACGUCCCUGUCUUGCCUUCCACCUAGCCAAGUGGGGAAGAGGAUAAGUCACAAAGCAGCAACGGAGGCUGGAGGUCACAUAUUAAACGGCGCAGAGAAAAACCUCACCCUAGACUGACCCUGAGGUCUGGGACGUCCCAUCUCCCUGACACCUUCGUUUCCACUGAACUCUGGACAAUCAGUCAUUUGCAUCCGAGGGACUUGGGAGCAGGGCCUUCCACCCUAAUACGAGCUCGCUUACUACACCAAUCACUGCCACCACUGAUUCCCGCUCCUCACCCCCACCUCCUGUCGGUACUGGACAAAGGACUUGGCUCUACGCUUUUGGACAGCCUGGAAUAUCCACCCCACCUCUACUGAUCCAAACACUUCCCAUAAACCUCACAGAAUGUGAGUGAUCUCUCCGUUACAGCCCGACAGCUAUUGCUGCAUGGUUCUUUUGGUAUUAACAAAUGCUGAUGCUCUGCGAAAUCUACACUCUUUUGGUUGAAUUGUUCUUUAAACUUUUUGCUGUUAAACCCUU